This 253-nucleotide ribosomal RNA is filed under the name uncultured bacterium. RNAcentral describes it as "partial 16S ribosomal RNA". It matches the Rfam family "Bacterial small subunit ribosomal RNA", at positions 524 to 776 of the family's 1533-position model. The record is from RNAcentral.
UACGGAGGGUGCAAGCGUUAUCCGGAUUCACUGGGUUUAAAGGGUGCGUAGGUGGGUCUGUAAGUCUGUGGUGAAAUCUCUGAGCUUAACUCGGAAACUGCCAUGGAUACUAUAGAUCUUGAAUACCGUGGAGGAUAGCGGAAUAUGUCAUGUAGCGGUGAAAUGCUUAGAUAUGACAUAGAACACCAAUUGCGAAGGCAGCUGUCUAGCCGAAUAUUGACACUGAGGCACGAAAGCGUGGGGAUCAAACAGG